Molecule: long non-coding RNA, 629 nt
Filed under: Scleropages formosus (Asian bonytongue)
Lineage: Eukaryota; Metazoa; Chordata; Actinopteri; Osteoglossiformes; Osteoglossidae
Description: lncRNA (ENSSFOG00015025018.1)
Source: RNAcentral
CGUGUGAUUUUGUACAGUGUUUUCAAGUGGAGCGAAGAGGAUUAAAGAUAAGACAUGCGGAACAAACAGGACACUCAGGAACAAAACUUGCUUUCACUUUUGCUAUUGCCUCGCAGAGCACUGAACGGCGUAGGUACAGAGCGCAAUAUGCGGUAAAAAAAAAGUGUCAUUUUUUCUUUUCAUGCACCCAUAUUGGCAAAUUUCUGAUUCAUUACAACUUGUGUCGAAUACAUGUCAUCAACAUUUCUCUGGACGGAAAGAGGACCAGAAAGUCCAUAAUGGAAUUCAGUGAAGAAGAAAAGAUAUGGUUGGCAAAAAUAGCCUCUGAGGUCCCUGAAAAGAGUGAGCUGACUUUACAUGAACAGCACCUUUGUGAUCUGGCUAAACCAAAGAACUUGCUUGAAGAGUUAAUCUUUGAGUUCAUGGCUUGCAUCAGAUUUGGAAUAUUCAAAGACUGGCAGAGUUUUGGUCUGUACAAAAAAUGUUCUCCAGAGCCCUGAUCCUGGACGUGAGCACUCUGGAAAGAAAGAAUAUGAUUUGUACUGCAUUCCAACCUUCAAGGUGAACAGCCUUCGUGGACAGUGAAAAAGGUUGAACAAUAAAGCUUCACUUAAAUGAAGAGGAGAACA